AAGCCAUUCCCCAGUUUUGCUUCCCUGAUGCCAAGGACUGGCUCCCUGUGUCAGAGUAUAGCAGUGAGACCUUUUCUUUCAUGCUGACUGGGGAAGAUGGCAGCAGACGCUUUGGCUACUGCAGGCGCUUACUGCCAAGUGGGAAAGGGCCCCGGUUGCCAGAGGUGUACUGUGUCAUCAGCCGCCUUGGCUGCUUCGGCUUGUUUUCCAAGGUCUUAGAUGAGGUGGAGCGCCGGCGUGGGAUCUCCGCUGCAUUGGUCUAUCCUUUCAUGAGAAGUCUCAUGGAGUCGCCCUUCCCAGCCCCAGGGAAGACCAUCAAAGUGAAGACAUUCCUGCCAGGUGCUGGCAAUGAGUUUUCAGAAGGCCUGCACAUCUAUGCUGCACACACAUGCUGUGGGACCAAGGAUGAGGCCAGGCAAACCCCAGGGACAGCUGCUUUGGCACGGCCUGAGCGUCAGCACUUCCUCCUGCCCUCACCGCUGGGGUCACUCACUACCUUUCACCCCUGUGACUCCCCCAGAGAAGUGGCUCUCUGAGCUAUGGCGCUCACCUUGGGAGCAGCCUUU
This 566-nucleotide small RNA is filed under the name Pongo abelii (Sumatran orangutan). Its description in RNAcentral is "processed transcript". The record is from RNAcentral. Lineage: Eukaryota; Metazoa; Chordata; Mammalia; Primates; Hominidae.